GAUCCAGCCAUGCCGCGUGGGUGAAGAAGGCCUUCGGGUUGUAAAGCCCUUUUGUUGGGGACGAAAUCGUNCGGGUGAAUAUCCCGUGCGGAUGACGGUACCCAAAGAAUAAGCACCGGCUAACUUCGUGCCAGCAGCCGCGGUAAUACGAAGGGUGCAAGCGUUACUCGGAAUUACUGGGCGUAAAGCGUGCGUAGGCGGUUCGUUAAGUCAGAUGUGAAAGCCCCGGGCUCAACCUGGGAAUGGCAUUUGAUACUGGCGGGCUAGAGUACGGUAGAGGGUGGUGGAAUUCCCGGUGUAGCAGUGAAAUGCGUAGAGAUCGGGAGGAACAUCCGUGGCGAAGGCGGCCACCUGGACCAGUACUGACGCUGAGGCACGAAAGCGUGGGGAGCAAACAGGAUUAGAUACCCUGGUAGUCCACGCCCUAAACGAUGCGAACUGGAUGUUGGGGGCACACAGGCCUUCAGUAUCGAAGCUAACGCGUUAAGUUCNCCGCCUGGGGAGUACGGUCGCAAGACUGAAACUCAAAGGAAUUGAC
RNAcentral lists this ribosomal RNA (538 nucleotides) under uncultured Luteimonas sp. Its description in RNAcentral is "bacterial SSU rRNA". It matches the Rfam family "Bacterial small subunit ribosomal RNA", at positions 385 to 914 of the family's 1533-position model. The record is from RNAcentral. Lineage: Bacteria; Pseudomonadati; Pseudomonadota; Gammaproteobacteria; Lysobacterales; Lysobacteraceae.